AGCGAACGCUGGCGGCGUGCUUAACACAUGCAAGUCGAGCGAGAAAGUCCCGCAAGGGAUGAGUACAGCGGCGAACGGGUGCGUAACACGUGGGCAAUCUGUCCUUGAGACCGGAAUAACCCAGCGAAAGUUGGGCUAAUGCCGGAUAAGACCACGAGCAGACAUGUUUGUGGUCAAAGGGCGCUUCUUCUAGGAGCAUUCACUCACGGAGGACGCCCCGCGGCCUAUCAGCUGGUUGGUAGGGUAACGGCCUACCAAGGCAAAGACGGGUAGCUGGUCUGAGAGGAUGACCAGCCAC
RNAcentral lists this ribosomal RNA (298 nucleotides) under uncultured bacterium. RNAcentral's name for it is "partial 16S ribosomal RNA". It matches the Rfam family "Bacterial small subunit ribosomal RNA", at positions 29 to 311 of the family's 1533-position model. The record is from RNAcentral.